Carassius carassius (crucian carp) is the source of this 341-nucleotide long non-coding RNA. RefSeq lists it as uncharacterized. NCBI's taxonomy places the organism in Eukaryota, Metazoa, Chordata, Actinopteri, Cypriniformes, Cyprinidae. The record is from RefSeq and is a predicted model, not a curated record. The transcript is spliced from 4 exons.
GCCUCAUUGGUCUGCACUGGACUCUAAUUCCGUAAAGAGUUAAAGGGUUUGGCUGAGCCUUCACAGAAUGCUAUCAAACCCAUCUUUCAGUAUAGAGGCCACCCACAGUUCCUGGUCUGUCCUGUUACCCAGAUUUUCUUAAAGAAGAGCACAACAAGCCUGCCUUCAUGUCUGAUAAAAAGAUGACCUCUAGCCGUCGGCAACAUCUCAAGAGUUUGAUACUGGGUAUAGCCAAGGAGCUGCUGGUGGCUGAGGAAAAGCAGACAGAGGAGGAAAGAGCUCGCUAUAUGGAGAAGAAAUGUCCUCCUCUGUCUCUGCCUGGCUCACUGCAGGAAUUACAG